RNAcentral lists this transfer RNA (55 nucleotides) under Plagiorhynchus transversus. RNAcentral describes it as "tRNA-Pro". Lineage: Eukaryota; Metazoa; Acanthocephala; Palaeacanthocephala; Polymorphida; Plagiorhynchidae. The record is from RNAcentral.
CACGAGGGAGUUUAUUAGGAAUAUGGGCUUUGGGGGCUCAAGGGGAUAGUUGUGA